GAGCUAUUGCAACGGUAUGUGUUGUAUUAUGAAAAAUUUAGAAGCGCGCAUUUCUUCCCUCUAUUUUUUUCACCAAAUAUUUGAACAACACUUGUCUUUAAUUUGCUUCCCUCUAUUCACAAUUCUCAAGUACAGUACCAUUUUCCCCCUUUUCUCUAAUUUUCCCCAUUCUCACCUUAAUUGAUUAUAGAGGACCAUUUUCACAGUACCAUUUUUCCAAUUUCUCCAUUUUCUCAUCUUCUCAGAUCUCAUAUUUUCACAGUAGAUGAGAAGGAGUACGUUUUUGUUGUAGUUGUUGCAUCUGAUUUAAAACCCAGACCUCAAAACUACCAACAAUGGUGCAACCACCGCAUGCACCACCACCGCGCUCAUAUACCGACCUCUUCGGCGGCCCAAUCUACGAUUUAACCCCUUUAUGGUUCAAGAACAACCUCUUUCUCCCUCCUUUCGACUCCGAAUCCUACAUCUCUAACCUUCAAACCCAUUCCUCUCUCGCUGCACUCAAUUAAUCUCAAGUUACUGGUAUGUAUUUUGAAACAAUUAAAUUUAUUCUAGUAUAAUUUGUUGAAAAUGGCUCUAUUUAGUUGUUAAAUGCUAUAAUUUCUCAAAAAUUAAGCUACUAUUUGUUUAAUUAGGGUUCUCGUAAGUAAUUGCUUCAAUAAUUCUGAUGUCAUCAAUUUUGUUAAACUAAUUUUGCAUUUUUGCUGGUUUGAUUGAGAGAAAGAGAACGAUUAAGCCCACCAUCCCAUUAUUGAGUCUUCAGAAGCAGGUGCAUGAGCAGUUGGUAUGCUGGAACCUACAGGUGUUGUUGUGCUAUAUAACUUGGUCCUCGUUCUACUCAGAUUUCCGCAGGUAAGAAGCCCCUGGUUAUACAAUGAAAAAUAAAAAAUAUCACCCCUCUGAGUGAAUGGGCAGCGUAUAAUUUUCUUCACCCUAAUUUGUAUGAAGUUGCUGAAUUUACUUCUGAGAUGAAGCGAAAUUGGGUUUAUAAUUUGAGUAUUCCUCAAUUUUCAUACUUACUCUCCAAGAUCCGCUCUCUUCAUACUUUAAUUUGUAAGGAUAUAGAGCUUUAUUAUAGGAUACCUCAUGCCUGUGAUGUUUGGAUUAAGAGAUAGAAUGACAGGAAAUUGCCAUACCAAGAGAAGCAUGUCCGCCAACAGGCAUCGAUUCUUGGCAACUUGGAGGAUUUUGGGGUUUUGUCUGAGCAAUACUGUCAAUCUGAUCUCUCUGCUGUUGUUGAGUUUGGAGCUGGCAGGGGUAACUUAAGGUCUUUAUAGGAUCAAUAAGGUCUUUUUGGUUGAGCGUAAGGCAUACAAGCUAAAGGUCAGUGUACAUUAAAACACUUCUUUAUGCUCAUAUAAGAUGUAACUAAACUCAUUAUAUUUAUGCUCAUAUAUCUUAGUAUCUUAAACUUUAGGCUGAUCGAAGUCUACCACAGAUAGACAACUUAACAUUGGAGCGUUUGAGAAUUGACCGUAAGCUUACUUGCAGGAAGAAAUUGGAAAUAAAGAUUUUAACUGCAUAUGUUCUUGACAAGAUAUGCACAAGGUUACUACAAGAUUGUACGAAGUAUAGUGACUAGCCAUCUAACAAAUGGUGCAUAUAUGUUGGCGACUCUUAUUCAAGUUCCGGCUUUGUGAAGAUUUGGAUAUUUCGGCUUAUAUAUAUGUUGACAAUUUGUAUUUUGGACGAUCAAAUCAAUUAUCUAACUUUUAUUUAUUAUUAGUACGGUAUGUCAUAUCAAAAAUAGGCAAGUAAUAUUUUGUAAUGUACGUAUUUUGCAUUAUAAUUAUUACAUAUAAAUGAUACUUUAAUUUGUUUAUGUUAGUAUAUUUAGAUUUGUACUGACUAAUUAAUAUUAUAUUACCAUUCCAUCCCAACAAAAAAAAAAAAA
This is a long non-coding RNA of Chenopodium quinoa (quinoa), 1894 nucleotides long. RefSeq lists it as uncharacterized. The transcript is spliced from 6 exons. NCBI's taxonomy places the organism in Eukaryota, Viridiplantae, Streptophyta, Magnoliopsida, Caryophyllales, Amaranthaceae. The record is from RefSeq and is a predicted model, not a curated record.